Equus caballus (horse) is the source of this 2271-nucleotide non-coding RNA. The record is from RefSeq and is a predicted model, not a curated record. Lineage: Eukaryota; Metazoa; Chordata; Mammalia; Perissodactyla; Equidae.
UGUCAGGAUUAGUCAAGAAGACAGUAAGAUCUCAAGUCACCACCAGCACUAAAUGAUAGAGUCAACAAUCCCAACUCCCUUUUCAGGCCCCUUAUCUAGAAAAGGGACUAUGCCCACAGUCCCACUGGGAAUUGCUUUCAGAAGAGCUGAUGAAAGCUGUGAAGGCACUGUUGCCCAACAGUGAGGGGAGUGGAAACGACUUGGCAGAACCUCAGGGAAGGCCCAUCAGGGCAUGAGAUCAGUGACCAGAGACGAGGACCACACUCCAGGGGUAGAGGCAGAACCACAUGUCAUGCCCUGCAGACUCCAGAGCUGCAUCUCCAAGACAGAAGGAGGCCUCCAGCAGACAAGAUGGGGAUGCGGGCCUUCUAAAACUCAGGUACCCUGAAAACCACUUUUUUUUCCCCUAAUGAGGCAGAAACAAAAACUUAAGGAAGUUGUAAGCCACAGUGGCCAACAGAAAAGUUAGAAUGUGUCCUGCAGAACAAGCUUCUCUGCUCUCCCAAACCAGACAAACAGCUGAAGCUUGGGGACGGGAAGGGGAAGGAGCUGUGAGGUAGUGUAAAGGAUUUUCUAUAGCCAGCAGAUGACUGUGUGCAAGCUGUUGCCCUUCCAAAGGCUCAUGGGAGCCUGGGAACCUCACUUUGCAAUUCUCGUCUUUCGUCCCUCCCCUGCCUUUAAAUGGCUUGUCUCCAUGGUUCUUUGUGGUGUUUUUGUGCUGUGAUUGAGACUCUAUGACCUGUUCCAUCUCACAAGGCCAGUAAACAGAAGCGCCCUGAACCGGAAUUUGGUGAAAUGGCUGCACCCUGCUCAAGGAAGUCUGGGAAAUGUAGUCUCUAGCUGUAUGGAUGAAAUUCCAGGUGAUUUUGUUCUAAAAGGAAGAACAGAUGUUGAGAGACAGCACUCUGACACCAAGGGCUUAUAGAUCUACCAGCUUUACUUUGAAUAGUAUGUGCCCUGGUAGCACAUCUGAACAGUUAAAAUAUUAAUGCACUCUAUUUACUUAUUCGUAUAUCUCUCACAAAUGCAAUUAAUAAUUUGUUUAUUCCUAGGUACAACGUGUAGAGGAAUAUUAUUUUGAAAUUUUACUUGAAGCAUCCUCAUUCUUGCUAAUUCAUUUUAAUCUAGUCCUUCCUCUGCUAAAAUUAGACCAUGGGACUGGGUCUUAUCUCCUCAGGAGCGGACUGACAUGUGGAGAUAGAAAUGAGCCAGUGCUCAGCUUUGGGUUUUGAAACAGACUUUUGAAGCUCAUGGCAGAGCCAGUAACUUUGAGAGAUAAGACUUUUUAAAUUCUAGACUGUUUGAAUACCACUAGCCCAAAGUUUAUACCCUAAACAAUCGUUUCUGAAGGAGUGCGUGAUGAUGAAAGAACUUGUUUUCCCACCCAAAGGAAAUAAGAUCUGUAGGAGGUAAGAGUCAGAGAGCUGGAGAGAGAGCAAUAGAGAAAAGUGCCGGGUGGGCUCUGAGCAUGCGUCUUCAUCCCUUCUCCCACCCCCAGGCAGAUCCCUAGUCUGGGAGGACCCCAGAGAGGGUUAUCAGACAGGGUGGGGGAGCCAGAUCACAGAGUUCGCAUCCCAGUUUUGCCUUCGACUGCCUUCUGACUUGGGCAACUUCUCUCUGUGUCUGCAUUUUCUUUUCUGUAAGACAGAGUUAAUAAUACCUACUUUGUGCUGUUAUUGUUAGAUUUCAAUGAAUAAGAACAUAUAAAAUACUUAGAACAGAGCCUGGUACAUAAUAAGCACCGAAUAAACCUCUUGUAAUUGUUAAUGUCUGAGAGGAGAGGAACCUGUAGAGAGUUUCAUUUUGUCUCUCAUUUUAAACAUCUACAAUUUUGGCAUUUCUUGCACAUUUUUUCAGUUACGUAUGAUUCAGACAUUUUACACUUGAGAGUUUAAAAUGUUUUAUUAAGUAAAUACUACUCAAAGUGUCCAAAACCUUUAAUUACAUAAAUUGGUAUUGAAGAUGCAGAACUUCUUACAAACACCGAGCGCACUGCAUGAGAUUCAAAAUCUGUAAAUUGUGUUUGAUGAUACACCUUGUAGAAAUUCUAGACUUAAUUUCAAAAAGAUUAAGUAAAUUAACAUUCAAAGAUGCAUCUGAUUCUUAUAAGCAUACCUGUCACUUGCCAUUAACAACAUGUCCAAGUUGAGGGUGUGGCGUCCAUCCAUCCAUGGAUGCCUGUAGUCCAUUCGCUUGAGAGAUUAUGAAGAAAGUAUACCUCAAUAAAACUUGGUGGAGGGACUGGCCCCGUGGCCGAGUGAUUAAGUUCGC